RNAcentral lists this ribosomal RNA (245 nucleotides) under uncultured bacterium. Its description in RNAcentral is "partial 16S ribosomal RNA". It matches the Rfam family "Bacterial small subunit ribosomal RNA", at positions 791 to 1035 of the family's 1533-position model. The record is from RNAcentral.
UAGUCCAUACUGUAAACGAUGCAGACUAAGUCUUGUGGCAUUCGACCGCCUCAGGACCUAAGCGAACGCGAUAAGUCUGCCGCCUGAGGACUACGGUCGCAAGACUAAAACUCAAAGGAAUUGACGGGGGCCCGCACAAGCGGUGGAGCAUGUGGCUUAAUUCGAUGCAACGCGAAGAACCUUACCUAGACUUGACAUUGACUUGAAAUACUGAUGAAAGUUAGUAUGUCUUCGGACAAGUUAAC